This is an RNA transcript of Cervus elaphus (red deer), 2948 nucleotides long. It is a transcript of the gene named conserved oligomeric Golgi complex subunit 2-like, with no coding region annotated. The record is from RefSeq and is a predicted model, not a curated record. The transcript is spliced from 8 exons. NCBI's taxonomy places the organism in Eukaryota, Metazoa, Chordata, Mammalia, Artiodactyla, Cervidae.
GCCGCGGUGCGGCCGCUGCCAUGUUGGCCGAAGUGGCGCUCUCUGCCAGGGCAAUUGGCUCUCGCUGCGGCUGCCAGGUCGGUAUGCACAGGGUCUUCCCUCUUCCCCUCGCCCGCGGUUGGCCCUGAGAGGCGGCGUCCGGCGGGAUGGAGAAAAGUAGGAUGAACCUGCCCAAGGGGCCGGACACGCUGUGCUUUGACAAGGACGAGUUCAUGAAGGUGCGCCCGGGGGGCUGCGCUCCCCGAGCCGAGGCGGGUGGCCUGUCUUCCUUUCCCUCCGAGGCCUCCUCCAGCUGCUGGGCGCGCACGCCCGGGAUCAACCCCCGGCGGGACCUCGCUGCCUUCGCAGAAGACUUUGAUGUCGAUCACUUUGUAUCUGACUGUCCAAAGCAAGUCCAGCUGGAAGCACUUAGAGAUGACCUGGAGCUCUACUAUAAGCUUAAAACAGCCAUGGUUGAGCUCAUCAACAAGGACUACGCAGACUUUGUCAACCUGUCAACAAACCUGGUGAUUCUAGAGCAGAUUGUUGAUAGUCGUCUGAGUGAUCUCCAGCUCAUGUAUGAUAAACUCUUGGAGUUCGUUCCCCAUCACUGCCGCCUUCUUCGAGAGGUCACAGGAGGAGCCAUCUCAAGAUUUAGAGAAAUAGCGGGAUCCUUAGAAGCAGCACUUACAGACGUCCUGGAAGAUGCACCAGCUGGGAGCUUGUAUCACCUUUUGGCUUCUCAUAGGACGUGGAGCAGCCUUCGGAGGUGCUGGUCUGACAAGAUGUUCUUGCCGCUGCUGGCGCAUCGUCUGUGGAGACUGACGCUGCAGAUCUGGCACGGUACUCCAUAUUUGUCAAGGAGGUGGAAACAUUUUAUUGCUGAAAUCCUUUUUCAGCCUUUACUCAGGCCCAUCUCUAAUGAAAGUGCUAAGGAUGUUAAAAAGCCUUUGGUAACUGGCAGCAAAGAUCUUUCUAUCACCCAAGGACUUCGCGAAGACCAAGCGAGUGGCCCUUCUGAAACAAAGCCCAUCAUCUCCACUUCCAGCACUCAGCUUGUCUGUGUGGUCACAGACCUGGACAGGCUUCAGGAGCAGCUCCAGAACUCUUAGAAACAAUCAAGCCAAAAUGUGAAGUGAUGGGCUUUAAGAAUUUUUCUUCCAUCUCAGAUUGAGCCUCUGCCCCACAACAAGAGGAGCCACUGCAGUGAGAAGCCUGCACACCACUAGUUAUGGCCCACGCUCACCCAAACUAGGGAAAAGCCCACACACAAAGACCCAACACAGCCAAAAAUAAAUAAAAUCGUUUUCCUAAAAAAUGCAUAUCUAACAAAGAAUCUGUACUCAAAUUGUCCAAGAAAACUAGAGUAAAUAAGCCCAUUCAUAACUGGUAAAGAUUGAAAUAGACACCGGGCCAUGGAGGUUAUACUAAUAGUAAACUCUCCUACAGAAACAUACUCAAGAUACUGGUGGGAUGCAUGCACAGCCUCCUUUGGAGGACAGUUUUUUUCAGUAACCACAUGGGACAAGCACUGAAUUCUAUACAUGACAAGUGGUGGAAGCCAGGUAUCUUACUAUUGGUGUGGGAAGUUACGGAUAAACAAAAGGAAAGGUUACAAGAUCCAUGAAGACAUCAUCACAAAUUACCUUUAACUGAAUAUGUUCAAAGGUAAGCUGGAAUACAUGUAUAUAUUUCCAAGUAUUGUCAGCUGAGCAUAGCUCCUACAUGUAUGUUUUAAAUAUCGUUCUCUAGUGAAAGAGAACAGGAGAUGUCCCUGGUGGUCCGGUGGUAAAGGAUCUGCCUACCAAUGCAGGGAACACGGGUUCAAUCCCUGGUCCUAGAAGAUUCCACAUGCCCAGGGGCAACGAAGCCCCCGUACAACUACUAAAGUACUUGCAUGCUCCAGAGCCCAAGUUCUGCAACCAGAGAAAGUGCUGCAAUGAGAAGCCGGGCUCCUUUGUCCAUGGGAAUUUUCCGGGCAAGAAUACUGGAGUGGGUUGCCAUGCCCUCCUCCAGGGGAUCUUCCCAACCCAGGGAUAGGAUUCCUGCAUUGGCAGGUAGGUUCUUUACCACUAGCACCACCUGGGGCAAAAGUGCCUAAAUGGAGAUCAGGGAAACCCAGUUAGGAGAAGGGACUCCGAGGGAAGGAGACUCUCAGUCACACUCAGAGAAGCCUGGCAGGUAGUUCUGCAGGUGGAAGAGGACAAGGAAGCAGGCUGGAGCUGUGUAGAAGAUGAAAGAGGGAACUAAAGCAGGGGCCCCCAACGUCUAGGAUCUAAUGCCUGAUGAUCUGAGGUGGAGCUGAUGAAAUAACACUAAAUGUAAGUGUUCGGGCACUCAGCCAUGUCCAACCCUUUGUAGCCCACCAGGCUCCUCAGUCUAUUGAAUUCUUCAGGCAAGAAUACUGGAGUGGGUUGUCCUUUGCUUCUCCAGGAGAUCUUCCCGACCCAGGGAUUGAACCCGGGUCUCAUGCGUUGCAGGCAGACUCUUUACCAACUGAGUCACCAGGGAACAGAAAGAGAAAUAGAGUGCACAAUAAAUGGCCUGCACUUGAGACAUCCCAAAACCUCCCCCCACCCCUAUCUGUCAAAAAAUUGUCUUCCAGAAAAACUCCCUAGGUCAAGGAAGGAACUUUAAGUGUACUCAGCUGUCCCAGGUUGCUGGCUUAGGGAGAUGCUGAAGCAGGGGUGUCCCAAGAGGCAGAAGCUCCCUUGCGUGGGGUCCUCAACAGACCUCCGAUAGCCUUGGUGAUGAUCAGAGAGAUUUGUUUCAUUUUUUUAAAAUAUCCUUGUGGGAUAAACUUAAAACUUAGCAAUUCUCUUACAGUCUUCCUAAUAAAAAGUUUUCUUUCUUUACUGAUCUGUGAAGUACCAACUGUGACAAUCGGAGUUCUAAUAUACCUCAUAGUGUUGCUGCCACUAUGGAUAUUAUUAUGUGAAAUUGAACAUAUUCAAUAAAAAUGAAGCAUC